CUUGUACUUUGUUAUCUUGAAUAGGAAAAGAUAAAAAUGCUAUACUCAAUCACAGCUCAACACCAUCAGAAGUGCAAAUACUUUACUUUACAGGUUGCUUUAUGACAGAUGAAAUAGAGUUCUGAUGCCUAAAUGCAACACCUAAAUUCCCCCUCUGGUAAACAUCACAUAACUGUACAUAGAGGUUGAACUUGGAUUCUGAAGGGACAAAAAACGUACAAGCCAAGUAUAACCCACCACCCAGAAAAUCAGGGUGCUGAGGGUUUCUUUCAGAGUUUGAAAAAUGGACAAGAAGAGCCACUCUGCUUCAAUUCAAUGGGUUCCAUUUGCUGGGUAUCCCAUCAACACCAGCAGCCAAAUCCUUUUGGUAGUCAUUUUAGUGACUGCCUUUCUAAGAGAUCAGGGCUCUGGCGGGCUAGCUAUCCACUAUCUUCUGUAGUCUAGUAAUGAAAGCAUAGGAGGCCAUGCAUAAUCAUGGUGCCGUGCAAAAGAUAAGACCAGUUCCAACUUCCAGUCACCAUUCUGGAGGGCUUGGUCGUCACUUGCUUGUAGCUGUAUCACCAGAUCUCAACUCCCUUUCAAGCUCAUCAAACUCCCAGUCACCAAUCUCUUCUGUUGAGUAAUCCCGAGCAUCCUUCCCAAACUCUGACUCCAGCUUUGCUAGUUCAGCUGCAGGAUCAAGCAUCUGAUGUUCCUCAACUGCAGGUGCUUUGGGUUCCACAUCUGUCCCAGAUUUUGGUGAACUAGGAUUCUGCAUCAAUUUACGGGGACUUGCCACUUCCAGUGGCUUCUCAGAUGCAGUCUCUGACUUAGGGGUCGGCGGAGUCUCAAUUUCUAGAUUUGGUCUCUCAACUGAUUCAAAUUCCUUUCUCAACUUCUCAAUAUCAUCAAAUAGUUCUUUAA
Molecule: long non-coding RNA, 903 nt
Organism: Hevea brasiliensis (rubber tree)
Lineage: Eukaryota; Viridiplantae; Streptophyta; Magnoliopsida; Malpighiales; Euphorbiaceae
Exons: 2
Source: RefSeq, a predicted model, not a curated record